UACGUAGGGACCAAGCGUUGUUCGGAUUUACUGGGCGUAAAGGGCGCGUAGGCGGCGCGGUAAGUCACUUGUGAAAUCUCUGAGCUUAACUCAGAACGGCCAAGUGAUACUGCAGUGCUAGAGUGUGGAAGGGGCAAUCGGAAUUCUUGGUGUAGCGGUGAAAUGCGUAGAUAUCAGGAGGAACACCUGUGGUGUAGACAGCUUACUGGACCAUUUCUGACGCUGAGACACGAAAGCGUGGGGAGCAAACGGG
Molecule: ribosomal RNA, 253 nt
Filed under: uncultured bacterium
Lineage: Bacteria
Description: partial 16S ribosomal RNA
Rfam family: Bacterial small subunit ribosomal RNA
Source: RNAcentral